AAAAAGGGUGUCUGUUGUGAUUAGCACUGUUGUGAAAGAUCAACUUGGACCCAAUAAUGGAAUCACUAUCAAGAGAUUUUGGACGCACAAUUUUUUGCAUAUCGGGUUUACCAGUGGCCAAUGUUAUUGGUACCCCA
Small nuclear RNA from Megalobrama amblycephala (Wuchang bream), 137 nucleotides. RefSeq annotates it as U11 spliceosomal RNA. The record is from RefSeq and is a predicted model, not a curated record. NCBI's taxonomy places the organism in Eukaryota, Metazoa, Chordata, Actinopteri, Cypriniformes, Xenocyprididae. The transcript has a single exon.